AGAGUUUGAUCCUGGCUCAGAACAAACGCUGGCGGCGUGCAUAACACAUGCAAGUCUGACGGGAAAGUCGGCUUCGGCUGGCAAGUACCGUGGCGAACGGGUGAGUAACACGUGGGUAAUCUAACCUCGAGUUUGGGAUAACCUUGCGAAAGCGGGGCUAAUACCGAAUAAGACCACGCUCAGUCCGCUGAGUGCGGUAAAAGGCGGCCUCUUCUUGAAAGCUGUCACUUGAGGAUGAGCCCGCGGCCUAUUAGCUAGUUGGUGGGGUAAUGGCCUACCAAGGCGACGAUGGGUAGCCGGCCUGAGAGGGUGUACGGCCACACUGGCACUGAGAUACGGGCCAGACUCCUACGGGAGGCAGCAGUGGGGAAUUUUGCGCAAUGGGGGAAACCCUGACGCAGCAACGCCGCGUGAGUGAUGAAGGCCUUCGGGUCGUAAAGCUCUUUUAGUGGGGAAGAAUCCCACCCGGGCUAAUACCUCGGGUGUCUGACGGUACCCACAGAAAAAGUUCCGGCUAACUACGUGCCAGCAGCCGCGGUAAUACGUAGGGAGCAAGCGUUGUUCGGAAUUAUUGGGCGUAAAGAGCGCGUAGGCGGUUCGGUAAGUCUGAUGUGAAAUCCCGGAGCUUAACUCUGGAACUGCAUUGGAUACUGCCGAGCUUGAGUGUGGGAGAGGAGAGUGGAAUUCCCAGUGUAGAGGUGAAAUUCGUAGAUAUUGGGAGGAACACCCGUGGCGAAGGCGGCUCUCUGGACCACAACUGACGCUGAGGCGCGAAAGCUAGGGUAGCAAACGGGAUUAGAUACCCCGGUAGUCCUAGCCGUAAACGAUGGGCACUAGGUGUUGGAGGUAUCGACCCCUCCAGUGCCGCAGCUAACGCAUUAAGUGCCCCGCCUGGGGAGUACGGUCGCAAGACUAAAACUCAAAGGAAUUGACGG
RNAcentral lists this ribosomal RNA (935 nucleotides) under uncultured bacterium. RNAcentral's name for it is "bacterial SSU rRNA". It matches the Rfam family "Bacterial small subunit ribosomal RNA", at positions 8 to 916 of the family's 1533-position model. The record is from RNAcentral.